CCAUGGGCGGGGCUUCCGGCGCGUCGCAGCGCCUUCCGGCCGAGCGCGAGGGCUCUGCCGGCUUCUGACAUGAAGCCCUCUGGACCCAGAGGUUAGACCCCGUGUGACACACUCACCAUGCAGAUGCUCCUUCACAUCCUCUGGCUUAUGCUGGCCUGUGGCUCUGUGCACACUACCCUGUCAAAGUCAGAUGCCAAAAAAGCUGCUUCAAAGACACUGUUGGAGAAGACUCAGUUUGCAGAUAAGCCUGUCCAAGAUCGGGGUCUGGUGGUGACGGACCUCAAAGCUGAGGUCGUAGUUCUUGAGCAUCGCAGCUACUGCUCGGCGAGGGCCCGGGAGCGAAACUUUGCUGGAGACGUUCUAGGUUAUGUCACUCCGUGGAACAGCCAUGGGUAUGACAUCGCCAAGGUCUUUGGGAGCAAGUUCACGCAUAUCUCACCAGUCUGGCUACAGCUGAAGAGACGCGGCCGUGAGAUGUUUGAGGUUACAGGCCUCCACGACGUGGACCAAGGAUGGAUGCGAGCUGUCAGGAAGCAUGCCAAGGGCCUACACAUAGCGCCUCGGCUUCUGUUUGAGGGCUGGACUUACGAUGACUUCCGCAACGUCCUAGACAAUGAAGAUGAAAUAGAAGAGCUCAGCAAGACUGUGGUCCAGGUGGCAAAGAACCAGCAUUUUGAUGGCUUUGUGGUGGAGGUGUGGAGCCAGCUGCUGAGCCAGAAGCAUGUGGGCCUCAUCCACAUGCUUACCCACCUGGCUGAGGCACUGCAUCAGGCCCGGCUGCUGACCAUCUUGGUCAUUCCACCUGCCGUCACCCCUGGGACCGACCAGCUGGGCAUGUUCACCCACAAGGAGUUUGAGCAGCUGGCCCCGGUGUUGGAUGGCUUCAGCCUCAUGACCUACGACUACUCCACGUCGCAGCAGCCUGGCCCUAACGCCCCGCUGUCCUGGGUUCGAGCCUGCGUCCAGGCUCUGGACCCCAAGUCCAAGUGGCGGAGCAAGAUUCUCCUGGGGCUUAACUUCUAUGGCAUGGACUACGCAGCCUCCAAGGAUGCCCGUGAGCCUGUCAUUGGGGCCAGGUACAUCCAGACGCUGAAGGACCACAGGCCCCGUAUGGUGUGGGACAGCCAGGCUGCAGAGCACUUCUUCGAGUACAAGAAGAACCGUGGCGGAAGGCACGUCGUCUUCUACCCAACCUUAAAGUCCCUGCAGGUGCGGCUGGAGCUGGCCAGAGAGCUGGGUGUCGGGGUCUCCAUCUGGGAGCUGGGCCAGGGCCUAGACUACUUCUACGACCUGCUGUAGACUGGGCAGCAGUUCCAAGGCAGCGUGGACUCUCUUAGUCACAGAGCGACCGGUUGAGUGAAAUACAGGCCUCUGCUGCUUGCUGUGUGUGAACAGGUGGCUUUGAUGGCUAGCUGUGUCCAGAUCUCCCAAGUCCAUGUUGGUUAGAUUCCCUGAGGUCCUGUAGCUCCCA
This is an RNA transcript of Urocitellus parryii (Arctic ground squirrel), 1471 nucleotides long. It is a transcript of the gene named chitinase domain containing 1, with no coding region annotated. The record is from RefSeq and is a predicted model, not a curated record. NCBI's taxonomy places the organism in Eukaryota, Metazoa, Chordata, Mammalia, Rodentia, Sciuridae.